Rhinopithecus roxellana (golden snub-nosed monkey) is the source of this 575-nucleotide long non-coding RNA. RefSeq lists it as uncharacterized. NCBI's taxonomy places the organism in Eukaryota, Metazoa, Chordata, Mammalia, Primates, Cercopithecidae. The transcript is spliced from 2 exons. The record is from RefSeq and is a predicted model, not a curated record.
GAUUUCCCCUUCCCGCUUUGAAGGUUCACUGAAAAAUCAACUCAGAUAAGUUAGAUUAAUUGGAGAUAAGGCACACAAAUGUUAGUCACAGGUACCUGGAGCCUUCAGAAUGAAGACCCUAGUCUACAGGGGAAACUGUCCAUUUUUAUGUUUAAAUUUAGCCAAGUAUGGACAGCCGUGUAGAAAUAUGAUUGGACAAAAGGGGAUUGAUCAAAUGCUAACAGAUGCAGUGGGGAAAUCCAGCAGCGCCUGUCUGUCUAGAUUCCUCUUGCCGUCUCUGAACAGCCUGUCUGUCCAGAUUCUUCUUGCCCUUUCUGAACAGCGUUCCUUCCUUCUGAGUAUGGGACAGGACCCCCUCUGGAAUGGGGAUCUUAUGACCUACAAGCCAAACAAGAAUAAAAUCAAAUGAGGACCUGGAGGGCCUUUGAUCACAGAGUUGGAGACAGUCCCCCAGGGGAUGGCAGAUGAAGAUGAAGGAACUACAGUCCCAGAAUGUUUUCAAUGAGAACUGCCUCCUCAGCUUGGGGCUUCUUACCUUUAGAUUCUUAUGUGAAAAAAAAAAAAAGAAAUGUCCA